Molecule: ribosomal RNA, 1049 nt
Filed under: Leotiomycetes sp. genotype 68
Lineage: Eukaryota; Fungi; Ascomycota; Leotiomycetes
Description: eukaryotic LSU rRNA
Rfam family: Eukaryotic large subunit ribosomal RNA (bases 455-1049)
Source: RNAcentral
GAUCAUUAAUGAGAUCAUGCCCUUUGGGGUAGACCUCCCACCCCCUGUUUACCGUACCCGUUGCUUUGGCGGCCCCGUCGCGAGACGGGCCGCCAGAGGACCUUUAAACCCGUAUUAUCAUUGUCGUCUGAGUACUAUACAAUAGUUAAAACUUUCAACAACGGAUCUCUUGGUUCUGGCAUCGAUGAAGAACGCAGCGAAAUGCGAUAAGUAAUGUGAAUUGCAGAAUUCAGUGAAUCAUCGAAUCUUUGAACGCACAUUGCGCCCCCUGGUAUUCCGGGGGGCAUGCCUGUUCGAGCGUCAUUACAACCCUCAAGCUCUGCUUGGUCUUGGGCGUCACCCCCCAGGUGCGCCUUAAAAUCAGUGGCGGUGCCGUCUGGCUUCAAGCGUAGUAUUACUCCUCGCUUGGGAGCCCGGGCGUGCGUCUUGCCAAAACCCCAUACUUCUUUUAGGUUGACCUCGGAUCAGGUAGGGAUACCCGCUGAACUUAAGCAUAUCAAUAAGCGGAGGAAAAGAAACCAACAGGGAUUGCCUCAGUAACGGCGAGUGAAGCGGCAACAGCUCAAAUUUGAAAUCUGGCCCCCUCGGGGCCCGAGUUGUAAUUUGUAGAGGAUGUUUCGGGUGUGGCUCCGGUCUAAGUUCCUUGGAACAGGACGUCAUAGAGGGUGAGAAUCCCGUAUGUGACUGGCAGCCUACGCCCAUGUGAAACUCCUUCGACGAGUCGAGUUGUUUGGGAAUGCAGCUCAAAAUGGGUGGUAAAUUUCAUCUAAAGCUAAAUAUUGGCCAGAGACCGAUAGCGCACAAGUAGAGUGAUCGAAAGAUGAAAAGCACUUUGGAAAGAGAGUUAAACAGUACGUGAAAUUGUUGAAAGGGAAGCGCUUGCAACCAGACUUGCGUGCGGCCGAUCAUCCGGUGUUCUCACCGGUGCACUCGGUCGUGCUCAGGCCAGCAUCGGUUUCGGCGGCUGGAUAAAGGCCAUGGGAAUGUAGCUUCUCUCGGGGAGUGUUAUAGCCCGUGGUGCAAUGCAGCCCGCUGGGACCGAGGACCGC